GCAUCUCUAGCUCAAUUGGUAGAGCAGGGGCCUCUUAAGCCCAAGGUUCCGGGUUCGAUUCCCGGGGGAUGCACCA
This 76-nucleotide transfer RNA is filed under the name Candidatus Wolfebacteria bacterium. RNAcentral describes it as "tRNA-Lys". It matches the Rfam family "tRNA". From Rfam's summary of the family: Transfer RNA (tRNA) molecules are approximately 80 nucleotides in length. Their secondary structure includes four short double-helical elements and three loops (D, anti-codon, and T loops). Lineage: Bacteria; Candidatus Wolfeibacteriota. The record is from RNAcentral.